This 460-nucleotide ribosomal RNA is filed under the name uncultured bacterium. RNAcentral's name for it is "partial 16S ribosomal RNA". It matches the Rfam family "Bacterial small subunit ribosomal RNA", at positions 338 to 795 of the family's 1533-position model. The record is from RNAcentral.
CCUACGGGAGGCAGCAGUGAGGAAUAUUGGUCAAUGGGCGCGAGCCUGAACCAGCCAAGUAGCGUGAAGGAUGACUGCCCUACGGGUUGUAAACUUCUUUUAUAAAGGAAUAAAGUGAGGCACGUGUGCCUUUUUGUAUGUACCUUAUGAAUAAGGAUCGGCUAACUCCGUGCCAGCAGCCGCGGUAAUACGGAGGAUCCGAGCGUUAUCCGGAUUUAUUGGGUUUAAAGGGAGCGUAGGUGGGUUGUUAAGUCAGGUGUGAAAGUGUGCGGCUCAACCGUAGAAGUGCAGUUGAUACUGGCAGGCUUGAGUACGGUUGAGGUAGGCGGAAUUCGUGGUGUAGCGGUGAAAUGCUUAGAUAUCACGAAGAACUCCGAUUGCGAAGGCAGCUUACUAAAGUGACACUGACGUUGAUGCUCGAAAGUGUGGGUAUCGAACAGGAUUAGAUACCCGUGUAGUC